RNAcentral lists this unclassified non-coding RNA (328 nucleotides) under Basidiomycota sp. RNAcentral describes it as "partial contains small subunit ribosomal RNA, internal transcribed spacer 1, and 5.8S ribosomal RNA". The stretch from base 1 to 47 matches the Rfam family "Eukaryotic small subunit ribosomal RNA", at positions 1785 to 1831 of the family's 1831-position model. The record is from RNAcentral. Lineage: Eukaryota; Fungi; Basidiomycota.
AAAGUCGUAACAAGGUUUCCGUAGGUGAACCUGCGGAAGGAUCAUUAUUGAAUAAACUUGGCUUGCUGAUGCUGGUCUCUUCGGAGGCAUGUGCUCGCUUGUCAUCUUUAUACUUCCACCUGUGCACUCUUUGUAGGACUGGGAAGCAACUCUAUCCGAGGCAACUCGGGAUUUUGGGACUGCUGUGCGUCUUAGCUAUGCCGGCUUUCUUUGUGCUUUUCCAGGGCUACGUUUUUCACAUACACCAUGAAUUGUAACAGAAUGUAUCACUAGGUCUUUGUACCUAUAAACAAAUAUACAACUUUCAGCAACGGAUCUCUUGGCUCUC